UUAUUUUUUAAUAAUUAAUUUUUAUAUAAUUUUUAUAUAGUUAAUAUUUUAGUUAUUUAUAGGAAUAAAUAUUAUAAUAUAAUAAUAUUUUAAUAAUGAUAAAAUAAGUAUUUUAUAUAUAUAAAAUAUAGUAACUCGGCAAAUAUUAUUUUCGCCUGUUUAACAAAAACAUGGUCUUUUGUUUAUAUAAAAGAUCUAACCUGCCCUAUGAUUUAUUUAAAUGGCUGCAGUAUUUUGACUGUACAAAGGUAGCAUAAUCAUUUGUCUUUUAAUUGAAGGCUUGUAUGAAUGGUCGGAUGAAAAAUAUACUUUCUUUAUUUUAUAUAAAAAAUUUAAUUUUCUAGUCAAAAAGCUAGGAUUUUUUUAUAGGACGAGAAGACCCUAUAGAACUUUAUUUUCUUUUUUUAUAAACUUUAUAGAUAAAUAUAAGUUUAUAUAUUUUUGUUAAUUUUGUUGGGGUGAUUGAAAAAAUUUUUUAACUUUUUCUAUUUUUUACAUUUAUAUAUGUUUUUUUGAUCCUUUAUUAUGGAAUAAAAGAUUAAGUUACCUUAGGGAUAACAGCGUUAUUUUUUUGGAGAGUUCUUAUCGAUAAAAAAGUUUGCGACCUCGAUGUUGG
RNAcentral lists this ribosomal RNA (616 nucleotides) under Apolygus lucorum. Its description in RNAcentral is "partial 16S ribosomal RNA". The stretch from base 148 to 305 matches the Rfam family "Archaeal large subunit ribosomal RNA", at positions 1884 to 2089 of the family's 2987-position model. Lineage: Eukaryota; Metazoa; Arthropoda; Insecta; Hemiptera; Miridae. The record is from RNAcentral.